CUUUCAGAGAACCCACCCCUCCGCCCUCCGCACGUGUGCCCCUCUCACGGUUUGGCCAGCCCCCUCUCUCUGGUCCAAAGCUCCUCCACAAAGUGGACUUGGGUGUGGAGCCCAGCACACCCUGCCCUCGGGCCGCAUAUCUGCACGCACACAGGGUCUUCUUAAAGGCCAAAGCUCAGGCCACAAGGGCUCUGCCAGGCCCGCUGCUUCUAUCCAAGGGGUGACCAUGGGGGAGGCCAGCAAGAAUGCCACAGUCUCACCCUGCUGCCUGUCUGUCUUGCGGAGGGCUCAGCCCUUUCCCGUGUUCACGAAAAGGACAGCGUGCGGGCCGGGGGACUCGCUCCUCUGCAGGAUGCCGCUGAUGGAGUACGACGAGCCGGCCGAAUCCGUGCUCACCGAGGACACCUGCGUCACGGAGCCAGUGGACACUGCGCGGAGAAAGACGGGCGGUCAGGGCCGCAGAGGGCUGAGGGCGGCGGACCGGCUGUCACCGCACAACCUUAGGCUCUGAAGAGUUUGUAGACGUCCAGCAAGGACCACGCAUGCGCAAGACAGCAAGUCCGGCGCAUCUGAGAGCAGCAGAACAGGGCCACGCGAAAAGCUCCUUCGGAUCUACCAGAAAGCUCCUUCCUUGGCAUUUGGGAGAAGAGUGGGUCAUAAUAAAAUGUCCGGUUUCUUUGGAAAAGUUAUAUUCCAGUCUCAAACUAUUACCUUUUGAAAGGACAUUUAUUAGAGUUUUUUCUCAUUAUAACAGUAAUAUACGUUCAUUGUAGACUCUUUGGACAGUAUGGGAAAGUAUAAAGAAGACAUCUAAAAACGGUAUUUUGGUGUAUUUCCUUUAUACCAACAUUCCUGGGCAUAUUUAGAAAUAUCCAUUUUUCUCUUAACAAAAUCAGGAUUAUGCCAUGUAUACAGUUUUUUUUGUUGUGGUGGUUGUUUGUUUUGAGACAGAGUCUUGCUCUGUUGCCCAGGCUGGAGUAUAGUGGUGCGAUCUCAGUUCACUGCAACCUCCGCCUCCCAGGUUUGAGUGAUUCUCCUGCCUCAUCCUCCCAAGUAUCUAGGAUUACAGGCAUGCGCCACCAUGCCCAGUUUUUUUGUUUUUUUGCUUUUUUGUUUUUCUUUUUGAGACGAAGUCUCUCUCUGUCACCCAGGCUGGAGUGUAGUGGCAUAACCUCAGCUCACUGCCACCUCUGCCCCUAGGGUUCAACUGAUUCUCCUGCCUCAGCCUCCCGAGUAGCUGGGACUACAGGCGCAUGCCACUGCCUAAUUUUUGUAUUUUUAGUAAAGAAGAGGUUUCACCACGUUAGCCAGGCUGGUCUCCAACUCCUGACCUCAAGUGGUCGGCCCUCCUCGGCCUCCCAAAGUGCUGGGAUUACAGGCGUGAGCCACCGCACUCAGCCUCCAUGUAUACAGUUUUGCAGCCUGCUCUUUUCAUGCAACAUUCUGUGAGAAGCUUUUUCACAUUCCAGACCAUUAAUAUCUGAAAGUUUAUUCUGAGGCUGCACUGGGUCUCCAGCUUAUACAAAUGAAGAAUGACAGAAGUAGCAGGUGGGUGCCUCCCCUUAAACUCAAUGGGCAGUAGCCUCUCUGCCCUUUCUGAUCUUACAGCUUGGUGCUCGGCACCAAGGGCAGUCCGUGUCCUCAGCUGAUAGCCUGAAAUGGUCUUUUCUGUUCACCCUAUAGUCUCACCACACACACACAGGCCAUCUGGAGCCUGGCUACUUGAGCUCAGCAAGGAGCCUCUUGCCCUUUUCUAAUCAGUCAGCUUAAGUGUUCCCUCAAAUACAUUCAGAUUGUUUGUUUGUUUUCCCUAAUAUUCAAACCACUUAUUUUAACUAAGCAAACUCGAAGCAUAUUGGACAACCAGAAAACUCAUGGCAUUUGGGAGAAGAGUGGGUCAUAAUAAAAUGUCCAGUUCUGGGAGUGAGGUUCUCUUUUUGGUCACCUGGAAGUAAGCUGGCAUCUGACCUAAUGUUUAUAUUUUUGUGUAUGUCACUUUCUCUGUGUGUAUGUGUCUACAGAGAUAUUGCUGGAUAUGUCAAUAUAUGGAUAUACCAGACAUAAAUAUAGUUACAAAUAAAUAUAUGGCAAAAAAGUCA
RNAcentral lists this long non-coding RNA (2099 nucleotides) under Homo sapiens (human). RNAcentral describes it as "uncharacterized LOC105376032, transcript variant 1 (LOC105376032)". The record is from RNAcentral. Lineage: Eukaryota; Metazoa; Chordata; Mammalia; Primates; Hominidae.